AGGGGUGUAGCUCAAUUGUUAGAGUGCUUGGCUAGCAUGCAGGAGGCCCUGAGUUCAAUCCCCAGUACCCAGA
RNAcentral lists this transfer RNA (73 nucleotides) under Rattus norvegicus (Norway rat). It matches the Rfam family "tRNA". From Rfam's summary of the family: Transfer RNA (tRNA) molecules are approximately 80 nucleotides in length. Lineage: Eukaryota; Metazoa; Chordata; Mammalia; Rodentia; Muridae. The record is from Rfam by way of RNAcentral.